GCGACCCCAGGAUGGGCGAGGCAACCCGCUGAGUUUAAGCAUAUCAAUAAGCGGAGGAG
RNAcentral lists this ribosomal RNA (59 nucleotides) under Oberonia sp. LYL093. RNAcentral's name for it is "partial 26S ribosomal RNA". Lineage: Eukaryota; Viridiplantae; Streptophyta; Magnoliopsida; Asparagales; Orchidaceae. The record is from RNAcentral. RNAcentral also lists the same sequence under 1 other name.